This 136-nucleotide ribosomal RNA is filed under the name Klebsiella pneumoniae. RNAcentral's name for it is "partial 23S ribosomal RNA". It matches the Rfam family "Bacterial large subunit ribosomal RNA", at positions 2791 to 2925 of the family's 2925-position model. The record is from RNAcentral. Lineage: Bacteria; Pseudomonadati; Pseudomonadota; Gammaproteobacteria; Enterobacterales; Enterobacteriaceae.
AGUUCUCCCUGAGACUAUAAGUCUCCUGAAGGAACGUUAAAGACGAUGACGUUGAUAGGCCGGGUGUGUAAGCGCAGCGAUGCGUUGAGCUAACCGGUACUUAUGAACCGUGAGGCUUAACCUUACAACGCCGAAG